Molecule: ribosomal RNA, 373 nt
Filed under: Escherichia coli
Lineage: Bacteria; Pseudomonadati; Pseudomonadota; Gammaproteobacteria; Enterobacterales; Enterobacteriaceae
Description: partial 23S ribosomal RNA
Rfam family: Bacterial large subunit ribosomal RNA
Source: RNAcentral
GGGGCAGGGUGAGUCGACCCCUAAGGCGAGGCCGAAAGGCGUAGUCGAUGGGAAACAGGUUAAUAUUCCUGUACUUGGUGUUACUGCGAAGGGGGGACGGAGAAGGCUAUGUUGGCCGGGCGACGGUUGUCCCGGUUUAAGCGUGUAGGCUGGUUUUCCAGGCAAAUCCGGAAAAUCAAGGCUGAGGCGUGAUGACGAGGCACUACGGUGCUGAAGCAACAAAUGCCCUGCUUCCAGGAAAAGCCUCUAAGCAUCAGGUAACAUCAAAUCGUACCCCAAACCGACACAGGUGGUCAGGUAGAGAAUACCAAGGCGCUUGAGAGAACUCGGGUGAAGGAACUAGGCAAAAUGGUGCCGUAACUUCGGGAGAAGG